Molecule: long non-coding RNA, 1138 nt
Organism: Cucurbita moschata (crookneck pumpkin)
Lineage: Eukaryota; Viridiplantae; Streptophyta; Magnoliopsida; Cucurbitales; Cucurbitaceae
Exons: 3
Source: RefSeq, a predicted model, not a curated record
GUGAACAAAUUUUGCUUUACCAUUCCAUUUUUAGAAAGUAUUUCAUUCUGUACUUGAAAAUAAAGAUGUUUUAUGUUUGGUACUGCUAGGGAAAGUCUAGAACAUUCAUUUGUCCAUUGCUAUGAGUUUAUGGGAUGCCUACUUUAUGCUAUUGGGUUCAUCAUAUGCAUCCUAUCAAUUACUUUUUGUCUCAAGGGGUUUGGAAUCCUAGGUCCUACGGAGGGUCUUAAGAUGAAACUCGAAUUAAACCACUAAAGUAAUGCCUCAUUGCAUAAAAAAUGCGUACAUUCUCGUAAUGAAAAGGUAAGUUUGUGGAUGGUGCAACUGUUAUAGUUGUUGAGAACUGUCAUUGCCAUCGUUGUUGCAGUUAGUCGUAAUCACCAUUCUUAUCCUCAGUUGCUAUUGUUGUGGUUUUUUUUUUUUUUUUUUUCGUUUUUCUGGUCUCCCUUUUGCGGGGUUGUCAACGUCUUUGGGUUUUAUCUUCUCCUCUAUCUUCCCAUAACCAUCUGCCAGCGUUAUCAUUGUCUUAGCAGUCACCAUUGCCAUCAGUUGUUGUCGUCGUCCUUGUUGCCGUGCACAAUCAUUUUGUUCUCGAUGUUGUUUGGCUUUUCUUUUCUCCUACCUGGUUACUCCAUUUCUUGCUCUUUGUUCUUCUUUGCCAUCCUCCUCCUUUGUUAGAUUCUUUUUUGCUUCAAUUUAUAUUAUUGGUUUGUUGCUUUGGUUGGGCUCUUCUUACUUUCAAGUUAGUGUGGUUUGGUUUGCUGCUUAGGUUUGGUUUCAUGAGGUUCUUUGCUUUCCUGGUUGUGUGUUGUUGAUCAAAGGCAUUUUGUGAUGAAGCAUAGUAGUUGUUGUAUUGACAACAAGUACUUCCAUAUUCGGUUUGAAGAUGAGCAUUUCUUCGUUGUAGAUUUGGAUCUUAAGCCAGCCAUUCUUCUAUCUUUCUCUCACCUUGUUUGUAGAGUUGCGCACUAUCCGUCCCUACAAGGUACUUGGUCAAUUCAAGGAGGUUAUGGAACUCAUGACUAGGUGCUAGGACCAAAAUACACGAAACAAUAACUCAUAGUCUUUGAAAACCAUAACUAGCACUCUAUGGUACAUAGUGAUAAUCCAACCCAUGACUAGGCAAUAAUGGGCUAUC